CAGGGCACAACAGUCACCACCUGACACCGUGGUGCCCAUGCCCUUGAGCCUGGGAGCAGAGGGCGGCAGUGUUGCAGGGCAGAGUGGAGAGCAGGAGAGGACAACUCAAAGACAGAAGUCUGAAGAAUGUCAGGAUGCCUGUCCUUCCCCAUGCAUGAAUCCCAACUGGGCCUCUGAGUGCAGGGCUGUCUGUGACCCAGCCCACAACACUGGCUCUUCCGUGUCACCCAAGUGGGUGCAGGAUGGGUGCCCAGGAACCUCCCUUAGGAACUUCAAUCCCCGUGGCAGAGAUGCCUGAGAUCUAGAGAGUAAACUCCAAAGAGGCUCCCAAGUCACCCUCUGAGGACGGCAGUCUCCCCACUUUGUGGAAGUGUUUACAAGGCACUGCGACUUGGCAGAAACUCGUCAGAUGAAAAACCACAGCCUUGUUAUGGGACAUUAAUCACCCACAAUGGACAAUGUCUCUUCUGCUGUGUGUUUGUGUGGCACCACUUUUCUCCUUCCGAGAAACACUUUCCACAGAUGUAGCCUUUGCUUCUGAACAGAUCCUGAUUGUUGAAAACAGAAAAGGCCAUGUCGAGCAAUUGGUUCAUAGAUGUCUGCAGUCCCAUCUGAAGUUUCUUCAUUAAACAGAUGGGACAGACCGAAAGCACCUGAGAAACAGGUGGGAAUCCAAGGACAGGAUCAUCAAAGAUACUGCUCUCUUCCUCAGGAGCCCUUCUAAAUACCAUAGAUUCUGGGUUUUUCCUGGGAUGAACAGUUAUAAAAGCAUGAACAUAAGGGAUUUACUCCACCUUCUAUGUUUUAAGCAGAAACAAUUUAAAUGCAAAAUAGUGUCAUAAUUUAAACUGCCAUCUCUUGCCAUUUCCUAGUUCACACUGAACCCAAAUUGUUUUGUAAUAAUAGAUACAUUGAUCCUUUUUCAAAUUGGCAAGAUCAACCCUUUUCCACUGAUCAAGGAUAUGGCUUUGCAGUGAAGUUGGUGAAUCUGCAGGGCGAGGUUCAUGAGGUUUCCCAUGCCUCAUCUUGGGGCCUAUAAAGAGAGGCAACUAGGUCUCAGGUCCUGAAGGUGAUAUUCCAUGCAGAAGAAAGAGACCUAGCUGGGUGUGAUGGCACAUGCCUGUAAUCCCAGCACUUGGGAGGCUGAGG
Non-coding RNA from Heterocephalus glaber (naked mole-rat), 1149 nucleotides. The record is from RefSeq and is a predicted model, not a curated record. NCBI's taxonomy places the organism in Eukaryota, Metazoa, Chordata, Mammalia, Rodentia, Bathyergidae.